GCCGAGGUAGCUCAGUUGGCAGAGCAGUGCAUUCGUAAUGCACAGGUCGAGAGUUCGACUCUCUCCCUCGGCU
RNAcentral lists this transfer RNA (73 nucleotides) under Candidatus Omnitrophota bacterium. Its description in RNAcentral is "tRNA-Thr". It matches the Rfam family "tRNA". Rfam says of the family: Transfer RNA (tRNA) molecules are approximately 80 nucleotides in length. Their secondary structure includes four short double-helical elements and three loops (D, anti-codon, and T loops). Further hydrogen bonds mediate the characteristic L-shaped molecular structure. tRNAs have two regions of fundamental functional importance: the anti-codon, which is responsible for specific mRNA codon recognition, and the 3' end, to which the tRNAs corresponding amino acid is attached (by aminoacyl-tRNA synthetases). tRNAs cope with the degeneracy of the genetic code in two manners: having more than one tRNA (with a specific anti-codon) for a particular amino acid; and 'wobble' base-pairing, i.e. permitting non-standard base-pairing at the 3rd anti-codon position. The record is from RNAcentral. Lineage: Bacteria; Pseudomonadati; Candidatus Omnitrophota. RNAcentral also lists the same sequence under 1 other name.